UGCGGAGGGGGCGAGUGUUGUUCGGAAUUACUGGGCGUAAAGGGCGCGCAGGCGGCUUGGCAAGUCGAGUGUGAAAUCCCUCGGCUCAACUGAGGAACUGCACGGGAAACUGCCUGGCUUGAGUUCGGGAGAGGGAAGCGGAAUUCCGGGUGUAGCGGUGAAAUGCAUAGAUAUCCGGAGGAACACCGGUGGCGAAGGCGGCUUCCUGGACCGACACUGACGCUGAGGCGCGAAAGCUAGGGGAGCAAACAGG
RNAcentral lists this ribosomal RNA (253 nucleotides) under uncultured bacterium. RNAcentral's name for it is "partial 16S ribosomal RNA". It matches the Rfam family "Bacterial small subunit ribosomal RNA", at positions 524 to 776 of the family's 1533-position model. The record is from RNAcentral.